This 274-nucleotide ribosomal RNA is filed under the name uncultured bacterium. RNAcentral describes it as "partial 16S ribosomal RNA". It matches the Rfam family "Bacterial small subunit ribosomal RNA", at positions 523 to 796 of the family's 1533-position model. The record is from RNAcentral.
CUACGAAAGGUGCAAGCGUUGUUCGGAUUUACUGGGCGUAAAGAGAGUGUAGGUGGUUUAUUAAGUCGGAUGUGAAAUCCCGGGGCUCAACCUCGGAACUGCAUUCGAUACUGAUAGGCUAGAGUUUGGGAGGGGUAAGCGGAAUUCCGUGUGUAGCAGUGAAAUGCGUAGAUAUACGGAGGAACACCUGAGGCGAUGGCGGCUUACUGGACCGAUACUGACACUGAGACUCGAAAGCGUGGGUAGCAAACAGGAUUAGAAACCCCUGUAGUCC